This 441-nucleotide ribosomal RNA is filed under the name uncultured bacterium. RNAcentral describes it as "partial 16S ribosomal RNA". It matches the Rfam family "Bacterial small subunit ribosomal RNA", at positions 338 to 795 of the family's 1533-position model. The record is from RNAcentral.
CCUACGGGUGGGCAGCAGUGGGGGAUAUUGCACAAUGGGGGAAACCCUGAUGCAGCGACGCCGCGUGUGGGAAGACGGUCCUCUGGAUUGUAAACCACUGUCCCCAGGGACGAAGAUGACGGUACCUGGGGAGGAAGCUCCGGCUAACUACGUGCCAGCAGCCGCGGUAAUACGUAGGGAGCGAGCGUUAUCCGGAUUUAUUGGGUUUAAAGGGUGCGUAGGCGGGCUUUUAAGUCAGCGGUAAAAAUUCGGGGCUCAACCCCGUCCGGCCGUUGAAACUGGGGGCCUUGAGUGGGCGAGAAGAAGGCGGAAUGCGUGGUGUAGCGGUGAAAUGCAUAGAUAUCACGCAGAACCCCGAUUGCGAAGGCAGCCUUCCGGCGCCCUACUGACGCUGAGGCACGAAAGUGCGGGGAUCGAACAGGAUUAGAUACCCGGGUAGUC